CCGAUGGCGACCGGCGCACGGGUGAGUAACACGUAUCCAACCUGCCCGAUACCGGGGUAUAGCCCAUGGAAACGUGGAUUAACACCCCAUAGUACUUUUAUCCUGCCUGGGAUGGGAGUUAAAUGUUCAAGGUAUCGGAUGGGCAUGCGUCCUAUUAGUUAGUUGGCGGGGUAACAGCCCACCAAGACGAUGAUAGGUAGGGGUUCUGAGAGGAAGGUCCCCCACAUUGGAACUGAGACACGGUCCAA
This 248-nucleotide ribosomal RNA is filed under the name uncultured bacterium. RNAcentral describes it as "partial 16S ribosomal RNA". It matches the Rfam family "Bacterial small subunit ribosomal RNA", at positions 85 to 334 of the family's 1533-position model. The record is from RNAcentral.